AUACGGAGGAUCCGAGCGUUAUCCGGAUUUAUUGGGUUUAAAGGGAGCGUAGGUGGAUUGUUAAGUCAGUUGUGAAAGUUUGCGGCUCAACCGUAAAAUUGCAGUUGAUACUGGUUUCCUUGAGUACGGUACAGGUGGGCGGAAUUCGUGGUGUAGCGGUGAAAUGCUUAGAUAUCACGAAGAACUCCGAUCGCGAAGGCAGCUCACCGGGCCGGAACUGACACUGAUGCUCGAAAGUGCGGGUAUCAAACAGGAUUAGAUACCCUGGUAGUCCGCACAGUAAACGAUGAAUACUCGCUGUUUGCGAUACACUGUAAGCGGCCAAGCGAAAGCGUUAAGUAUUCCACCUGGGGAGUACGCCGGCAACGGUGAAACUCAAAGGAAUUGACGGGG
Molecule: ribosomal RNA, 393 nt
Filed under: uncultured bacterium
Lineage: Bacteria
Description: partial 16S ribosomal RNA
Rfam family: Bacterial small subunit ribosomal RNA
Source: RNAcentral